CACCAAACUGUCAUUUGACAAGUGUUUCUGAGCAUGUUCAACUUUUCCUGCUGUUUUCUUCCUUUUCUUUGUCUGGCUCAAAAUCUCCAUUUCGAGACUUUGAACAUUUUCUUUCAGGUGUGAACACACCAAUUCAAUCCUAAAAUAUUGAUUUCAAAAUAAUUAUUUGCACAGAUCUGUUAAAAAUGCAUAACCUUUGAAAGACUACUCACAAUUUUAAAAGUUAGAAAAAGUAGAUGAUUUGGUAGGUAAGAUUUUUCUCAUUGUGCUUGUUGACACUUUUUCUUUGGCAUUAUUGGGAGUGAACACAGGGCUCCACGUGGAAAGCACAUGCUCUCUCCUCACUGUACUAUUUCUGCUCCCCUAAAUUACUCCUUUCAGGUACAUUUAUCAAAGCUAGAAUUUUCCCCUGGCCUAAUGAAGAUUUAGUACUUAUAUAACUGCAAUAUGUCUCAUAUUAUGCUGCUGAUUUCCUUUAGAGAUGCUCAAGUCAUUUGGUUAAGCCAUACCUGUCUAAGGGUUCUUCCAUUUUUUCAUCAUGUUGCACAGAGCUUGUACCUGGGCUUCUGUCAACUGAAAAUUAACAAAAAGUUGAUUAACAACCUGCCCAUCCCUGGUGUUUGUUUCAUAACUGUAGUGAACACAGCUAUAAUGCUCCACUUCCAUAUGGUUUAUAGUUACCUCUGUGCUGUGUCUACACCGUUAGCUGAACUGCUGACGCAGGGAUCCAAUGGCCCACACCUUACAAAAUAACACCCUCUCCCCACUACUUAAGUUACUGACCCCAGCUCUAGGUCUGAAAUAUAUUAUGUUCCUGAUUUUAGACUGUUAGCAGGUCCUCAAACUGACAAAACUAGAAGGUUAGCACAGUGCUAUGGACCUGCAUUUCUGGAUGCUUGGAAAGCUGAUGCUUGAGACCAGCCUGGGCAAUAGGGGGAGACUACUAUUGUGCAGGAAACAAUAAAGGUGAAUAUUUUGAUAAAAUGGAGAGAAAGAGGAAGUCCCUUUACUUGUGCUGUCCUUUUAGUUGUAUUUUUACAUUCCACGCAUUACAUCCUACUUUAUGGAUUCCAAGUACUAUUUAUCAACUAUGAUAUGAAUAAUGCUUAUAUGACUAAGAGCAAUGCCAAUGAUAAUAAUACAGAAAUGACACUGCAGUAACAUCUAGAUGUCUCCAGGAACUGUUGGACAAACAGUAUCUAGACAGACACCAGCAUGCCUGGGCCAGAGUUCCAACUCCACCAGUCAAUGGCAGUGGGAGCUCUAUAAAAUCUUUCCUAUUAGGUAUUAUUGUGUUUUCUGUUUUGAUAAAGUUUGAUAUUGUAGGAAAGCUGAGGCAAAAGUUUCCUGAGGUCAAGUGCAGUCUUGAUAAUUUAUUCAGAAGAGCUGUCAAAAUUUAAAUCAGAAGCUGGGCUUCGUGUCACACAGCUGUGAUUCUGUCACUCAGGAGGCUGAGUCAACAGGGUUACUAUAACCAUGAGACCACCUUGGAGAGGCACAGUAAAUUCAAGGCCAGCCUGGGUUACGCAGCGAAACCCUGUCUCCAAUAACCAGAAAGAAAUUAAUUAAUCCAGGUAUAGUUGCACAUGUCUAUUGUCCUAGCAAUAGGGUUGGCUCAUGCAUGAGGCUGGCUCAUUUGAGCCCAGGGCAACUUAGAGAGGCCCUGUUCAGAAAGAAACAAAAAUUGCCCAUGGAUAAAGCUCUGUGGAGGACCCUGGGUUCAGUCACCAGUGCCAGAACUGUCUGGAAGGUGAAGAGGAGAUAAUGGAGUUUUCAGAAUGGCCCAGGGCUCUGUACUGGGCUGUAAUGAGAAAGGCACAGGUGGAUGGGAGGAAGGAAAAAGGGAGAUACUUUCCUGCUCCAAGGGACCUCCUCAGCUGACCUCAGGGGAGAGAAAGCAAAAUGUUAUGUUUUUGGCAGGUGGUGGACAAUGGGACAGGCUUUUUGUGCAAGCUGAACUGGUCACUCAUGAUGAAGGUGGCAAUAAAUGCAGAGUAUGCAGCCCAAAAGACAUCCCUGCAGUCCAGUGAGACUCAUCAGUUAGCUCAAGUAGUCAGUGGCACUUGAUUUGUAACAACUCACAGCUUAUUCUCACAUAGCAGUGCCCAGUGGGCAAUGAUCACUCAAACAGUGCUUCCUGGGUUAAGCGGUAUGUACAUAACAUGCCCAUGAGUGGAGGCUAACCCACUGAGCUGAUACUAUUGGGCCCUGCUGCUAAAUAAAGGUCCUCAAAUCAAUUCAUUUGUAGCAACUGCUAGGCCUCUUCAGAAAGCAGUCUGAUGUUCAAAUGAACGGUGUGGUAUGGUACUUCACAAGAGCUUUUAGGUUGGUCAAAUGCCUGGUCUGUGAAUCCUGCGCAUAGCUAUGUGAUGAAGGCAAAACUCCACUUUUUCAUGGUAAGGAAAAUAUGAUCAGUUGACAUGAAAUUCUCCAUUAGAUUGCGUACUUUCAAUUUUGUAUUUCUUAAAGUAUUGUCAAUGCUAUUAUGUCAAUGUUUCAAAGAAAUUAUCGGUUAUAGUAUAAUUAAGUCCUUAAUAGUUUUUUGAGCCACAGUCUUGCUAUUUCAUGCCACCUGGCCUAGCACUCAUAGCACUCACCCUGUCUCAGCCUCCCAGGACUGCGAUUACAGGUGAGUGCCAACAUGCAAGGCUGUGAAUAUUAAAUUGCAUAAAUGAAAUCUAAAAUUUGUUAAAGAGUGAAAGCAUUUAUUAAAUAUAGGCACAAAUGGUAUAAAAUAAAAUUUCAUUAAACACUUCAC
Molecule: long non-coding RNA, 2758 nt
Filed under: Cavia porcellus (domestic guinea pig)
Lineage: Eukaryota; Metazoa; Chordata; Mammalia; Rodentia; Caviidae
Description: lncRNA (ENSCPOG00000040667.1)
Source: RNAcentral